RNAcentral lists this ribosomal RNA (254 nucleotides) under uncultured bacterium. Its description in RNAcentral is "partial 16S ribosomal RNA". It matches the Rfam family "Bacterial small subunit ribosomal RNA", at positions 524 to 776 of the family's 1533-position model. The record is from RNAcentral.
UACGUAGGGUGCAAGCGUUAAUCGGAAUUACUGGGCGUAAAGCGUGCGCAGGCGGUUGUGCAAGACCGAUGUGAAAUCCCCGGGCUUAACCUGGGAAUGGCAUUGGUGACUGCACGGCUAGAGUGUGUCAGAGGGGGGUAGAAUUCCACGUGAUAGCAGUGAAAUGCGUAGAGAUGUGGAGGAAUACCGAUGGCGAAGGCAGCCCCCUGGGAUAACACUGACGCUCAUGCACGAAAGCGUGGGGAGCAAACAGG